GACGAACGCUGGCGGCGUGCUUAACACAUGCAAGUCGAACGGAAAGGCCCUGCUUUUGUGGGGUGCUCGAGUGGCGAACGGGCGAGUAACACGUGAGUAACCUGCCCUUGACUUUGGGAUAACUUCAGGAAACUGGGGCUAAUACCGGAUAGGAGCUCCUGCUGCAUGGUGGGGGUUGGAAAGUUUCGGCGGUUGGGGAUGGACUCGCGGCUUAUCAGCUUGUUGGUGGGGUAGUGGCUUACCAAGGCUUUGACGGGUAGCCGGCCUGAGAGGGUGACCGGCCACAUUGGGACUGAGAUACGGCCCAGACUCCUACGGGAGGCAGCAGUGGGGAAUAUUGCACAAUGGGCGGAAGCCUGAUGCAGCAACGCCGCGUGCGGGAUGACGGCCUUCGGGUUGUAAACCGCUUUCGCCUGUGACGAAGCGUGAGUGACGGUAAUGGGUAAAGAAGCACCAGCUAACUACGUG
RNAcentral lists this ribosomal RNA (468 nucleotides) under uncultured bacterium. Its description in RNAcentral is "partial 16S ribosomal RNA". It matches the Rfam family "Bacterial small subunit ribosomal RNA", at positions 28 to 507 of the family's 1533-position model. The record is from RNAcentral.